GAGGACGUGAACCGGUAGGAUGGAAACGGAUAGAGCCAACGAACAAGCCCGUAUUCAGCUGGUGGGUUGCGUGCGGCAUGGUUUUGUGCCCGAUAGGGUGUAUUGCUGUGUGCGGUAUGCGGUCGGCUAGUGCAUUUGCGGGUGAUGUGCGCUGAGGCGUGUGGUGGUGUCCAGCAAACCGUUCGGAGAGGACUUGCCUUCGGGCUUGAAACCUACGAGUGGGGAGUAGGGUUACUGCUGCACGUAGUCUUCGACUAGGUGCAAACGCGGUGUCGUGCUGUCGGGUUAGCUGCUUGGUCGGUCGCAUGCGACUAGAUCUUGUUGGUUGGUCUUGGUGGUGUGGUACUGCCCUGGUUGAUCCUCGGUGUAAAAGUUGGUCAUCUCUCCGACCCGUCUUGAAACACGGACCAAGGAGUCUAGCGUAUACGCGAGUCAUUGGGUGGAAAACCCAUAGGCGCAAUGAAAGUGAAGGUCUCUUUAUGAGGCUGAUAUGCGACCCGUUGCACUUCGGUGUACGCGGAGCAGCAUAGCCCCGUCUCGACUGCUUGCAGUGGGGCGGAGGUAGAGCGUAUGCGCUGGUACCCGAAAGAUGGUGAACUAUGCCUGAGCAGGAUGAAGCCAGAGGAAACUCUGGUGGAGGUCCGAAGCGCUUCUGACGUGCAAAUCGAUCGUCUGACUUGGGUAUAGGGGCGAAAGACUAAUCGAACCAUCUAGUAG
RNAcentral lists this ribosomal RNA (717 nucleotides) under Acrobeloides sp. AQn1. Its description in RNAcentral is "partial large subunit ribosomal RNA". It matches the Rfam family "Eukaryotic large subunit ribosomal RNA", at positions 393 to 950 of the family's 3401-position model. Lineage: Eukaryota; Metazoa; Nematoda; Chromadorea; Rhabditida; Cephalobidae. The record is from RNAcentral.